Molecule: ribosomal RNA, 752 nt
Filed under: Cladosporium cladosporioides
Lineage: Eukaryota; Fungi; Ascomycota; Dothideomycetes; Cladosporiales; Cladosporiaceae
Description: LSU rRNA
Rfam family: Eukaryotic large subunit ribosomal RNA
Source: RNAcentral
CUCAAAUUUGAAAUCUGGCGUCUUCGACGUCCGAGUUGUAAUUUGUAGAGGAUGCUUCUGAGUAACCACCGACCUAAGUUCCUUGGAACAGGACGUCAUAGAGGGUGAGAAUCCCGUAUGCGGUCGGAAAGGUGCUCUAUACGUAGCUCCUUCGACGAGUCGAGUUGUUUGGGAAUGCAGCUCUAAAUGGGAGGUAAAUUUCUUCUAAAGCUAAAUAUUGGCCAGAGACCGAUAGCGCACAAGUAGAGUGAUCGAAAGAUGAAAAGCACUUUGGAAAGAGAGUUAAAAAGCACGUGAAAUUGUUAAAAGGGAAGGGAUUGCAACCAGACUUGCUCGCGGUGUUCCGCCGGUCUUCUGACCGGUCUACUCGCCGCGUUGCAGGCCAGCAUCGUCUGGUGCCGCUGGAUAAGACUUGAGGAAUGUAGCUCCCUCGGGAGUGUUAUAGCCUCUUGUGAUGCAGCGAGCGCCGGGCGAGGUCCGCGCUUCGGCUAGGAUGCUGGCGUAAUGGUCGUAAUCCGCCCGUCUUGAAACACGGACCAAGGAGUCUAACAUCUAUGCGAGUGUUCGGGUGUCAAACCCCUACGCGUAAUGAAAGUGAACGGAGGUGAGAACCGCAAGGUGCAUCAUCGACCGAUCCUGAUGUCUUCGGAUGGAUUUGAGUAAGAGCAUAGCUGUUGGGACCCGAAAGAUGGUGAACUAUGCCUGAAUAGGGUGAAGCCAGAGGAAACUCUGGUGGAGGCUCGCAGCGGUUC